ACGAGUUAUCCAGAAGAUCUAGAUGAGAUAACUGACGAUGAAAGUUGGGGGAAUGGAUGGAGAUAACCAGAGUGAGAACUCACAGUUCCUUCUCCUGGGGAUCUCAGAGAGUCCUGAGCAGCAGCAGAUCCUGUUUUGGAUGUUCCUGUCCAUGUACCUGGUCACGGUGCUGGGAAAUGUGCUCAUCAUCCUGGCCAUCAGCUCUGAUUCCCACCUGCACACCCCCAUGUACUUCUUCCUGGCCAACCUCUCCUUCACUGACCUCUUCUUUGUCACCAACACAAUCCCCAAGAUGCUGGUGAACUUCCAGUCCCAGAACAAAGCCAUCUCCUAUGCAGGGUGUCUGACACAGCUCUACUUCCUGGUCUCCUUGGUGACCCUGGACAACCUCAUCCUGGCCGUGAUGGCGUAUGAUCGCUAUGUGGCCAUCUGCUGCCCCCUCCACUAUGUCACAGCCAUGAGCCCUGGGCUCUGUGUCUUGCUCCUCUCCUUGUGUUGGGGGCUGUCUGUUCUCUAUGGCCUCCUCCUCACCUUCCUCCUGACCAGGGUGACCUUCUGUGGGCCUUGAGAGAUCCACUACCUCUUCUGUGACAUGUACAUCCUGCUGUGGCUGGCAUGUUCCAACACCCACAUCAUUCACAC
This 642-nucleotide long non-coding RNA is filed under the name Homo sapiens (human). RNAcentral describes it as "novel transcript". The record is from RNAcentral. Lineage: Eukaryota; Metazoa; Chordata; Mammalia; Primates; Hominidae.